This 499-nucleotide ribosomal RNA is filed under the name uncultured bacterium. RNAcentral describes it as "bacterial SSU rRNA". It matches the Rfam family "Bacterial small subunit ribosomal RNA", at positions 38 to 518 of the family's 1533-position model. The record is from RNAcentral.
GAGACACGCUGGGCGGCGUGCCUAAUACAUGCAAGUCGAGCGAAGCGGAGAGAGCUUGCUCUCAAAGCUUAGCGGCAAACGGGUGAGUAACACGUGGGCAACCUGCCUAACAGCCUGGGAUAACUUGAGGAAACUCAAGCUAAUACCGGAUAGGAUCGCGAACCGCAUGGAACGUGAUGGAAAGUCUGAACGACACUGUUAGAUGGGCCCGCGGCGCAUUAGCUAGUUGGUGGGGUAAAGGCCUACCAAGGCAACGAUGCGUAGCCGACCUGAGAGGGUGACCGGCCACACUGGGACUGAGACACGGCCCAGACUCCUACGGGAGGCAGCAGUAGGGAAUCUUCCACAAUGGGCGAAAGCCUGAUGGAGCCAACGCCGCGUGAGUGAUGAAGGUUUUCGGAUCGUAAAACUCUGUUGUUAGGGAAGAACACCCGAGAGAGGAUCUCGGUUUGACGGUACCUAACGAGGAAGCCCCGGCUAACUACGUGCCAGCAGCGGC